This 71-nucleotide transfer RNA is filed under the name Myxococcaceae bacterium. RNAcentral describes it as "tRNA-OTHER". It matches the Rfam family "tRNA". From Rfam's summary of the family: Transfer RNA (tRNA) molecules are approximately 80 nucleotides in length. Their secondary structure includes four short double-helical elements and three loops (D, anti-codon, and T loops). Further hydrogen bonds mediate the characteristic L-shaped molecular structure. tRNAs have two regions of fundamental functional importance: the anti-codon, which is responsible for specific mRNA codon recognition, and the 3' end, to which the tRNAs corresponding amino acid is attached (by aminoacyl-tRNA synthetases). tRNAs cope with the degeneracy of the genetic code in two manners: having more than one tRNA (with a specific anti-codon) for a particular amino acid; and 'wobble' base-pairing, i.e. permitting non-standard base-pairing at the 3rd anti-codon position. Lineage: Bacteria; Pseudomonadati; Myxococcota; Myxococcia; Myxococcales; Myxococcaceae. The record is from RNAcentral.
GUCCCUGUCGUCCAGGGGUUAGGAUGCUCCCCUAAUUGGGAGAGACCUGGGUUCGAGUCCCAGCAGGGUCA